AGGUCAUUUCAAAGAGAGCUUGUGGGACUAGGAUCUUUUUAACACUGUGACCAAUGACUGAAGUUCUCCAUAGGAUGUAACAGUCACUCAGUAGUACUAUGUUUUCCCGAGGAGAUAUAAAA
Molecule: small nucleolar RNA, 122 nt
Organism: Pteropus vampyrus (large flying fox)
Lineage: Eukaryota; Metazoa; Chordata; Mammalia; Chiroptera; Pteropodidae
Source: Ensembl